CGCUCUUUGUGCAGCCGGAGAGGCGGCGGGGGAAGAGGACGAGGAGGAAGAAGGUGCACCGGGAGCGGCGGUGGCAGCCCGGUGUCCGCCGCGUCCCCACGUGCAGGCUCCUCUGUGUUGCUCUCUGAAAGCAUUUCAAGCUUGACACACAGAAGCUGUUUCUCCGUGAGCAGCUGUGGGGCAUUUGGCUGAUGGCUUUGACAGCAGAGAUGAAUUGAGGACGUGGCAUCUGCAGUCCUGACCUGGAAUUUGAACCCUUUAGUGCCUCUCCCUCCUCCCAGACUGGAGAGGAGGCAGAAGAUCUCAGAAUCUUCUGAUUGCCAUUGAUCUGAUUUUACUGAGCACUGGCCUCGUAUCACGUCUGUGUGUUCCUUGAGAGAUGAUUUCAAUC
Molecule: long non-coding RNA, 391 nt
Organism: Taeniopygia guttata (zebra finch)
Lineage: Eukaryota; Metazoa; Chordata; Aves; Passeriformes; Estrildidae
Source: RefSeq, a predicted model, not a curated record